This 253-nucleotide ribosomal RNA is filed under the name uncultured bacterium. Its description in RNAcentral is "partial 16S ribosomal RNA". It matches the Rfam family "Bacterial small subunit ribosomal RNA", at positions 524 to 776 of the family's 1533-position model. The record is from RNAcentral.
UACGGAGGGGGCUAGCGUUGUUCGGAAUUACUGGGCGUAAAGCGCACGUAGGCGGACUGGAAAGUCAGGGGUGAAAUCCCGGGGCUCAACCCCGGAACUGCCUUUGAAACUCCCGGUCUUGAGGUCGAGAGAGGUGAGUGGAAUUCCGAGUGUAGAGGUGAAAUUCGUAGAUAUUCGGAGGAACACCAGUGGCGAAGGCGGCUCACUGGCUCGAUACUGAGGCUGCGGUGCGAAAGCGUGGGGAGCACACAGG